UGUGUGAAGAAGGCCUUCGGGUUGUAAAGCACUUUCAGUCGUGAGGAAGGUGGUGUAGUUAAUAGCUGCUUUGUUUGACGUUAGCGACAGAAGAAGCACCGGCUAACUCCGUGCCAGCAGCCGCGGUAAUACGGAGGGUGCGAGCGUUAAUCGGAAUUACUGGGCGUAAAGCGCAUGCAGGUGGUUUGUUAAGUCAGAUGUGAAAGCCCGGGGCUCAACCUCGGAAUAGCAUUUGAAACUGGCAGACUAGAGUACUGUAGAGGGGGGUAGAAUUUCAGGUGUAGCGGUGAAAUGCGUAGAGAUCUGAAGGAAUACCGGUGGCGAAGGCGGCCCCCUGGACAGAUACUGACACUCAGAUGCGAAAGCGUGGGGAGCAAACAGGAUUAGAUACCCUGGUAGUCCACGCCGUAAACGAUGUCUACUUGGAGGUUGUGGCCUUGAGCCGUGGCUUUCGGAGCUAACGCGUUAAGUAGACCGCCUGGGGAGUACGGUCGCAAGAUUAAAAACUCAAAUGAAUUGACGGGGGCCCGCACAAGCGGUGGAGCAUGUGGUUUAAUUCGAUGCAACGCGAAGAACCUUACCUACUCUUGACAUCCAGAGAACUUUCCAGAGAUGGAUUGGUGCCUUCGGGAACUCUGAGACAGGUGCUGCAUGGCUGUCGUCAGCUCGUGUUGUGAAAUGUUGGGUUAAGUCCCGCAACGAGCGCAACCCUUAUCCUUGUUUGCCAGCGAGUAAUGUCGGGAACUCCAGGGAGACUGCCGGUGAUAAACCGGGAGGAAGGUGGGGACGACGUCAAGUCAUCAUGGCCCUUACGAGUAGGCUACACACGUGCUACAAUGGCGCAUACAGAGGGGCGGGCCAACUUGGCGAAAGUUGAGCGAAUCCCCAAAAAGUGCGUCGUAGUCCGGAUUUGUAUCC
This 918-nucleotide ribosomal RNA is filed under the name Vibrio sp. RNAcentral's name for it is "bacterial SSU rRNA". It matches the Rfam family "Bacterial small subunit ribosomal RNA", at positions 401 to 1306 of the family's 1533-position model. Lineage: Bacteria; Pseudomonadati; Pseudomonadota; Gammaproteobacteria; Vibrionales; Vibrionaceae. The record is from RNAcentral.